This is an RNA transcript of Zingiber officinale, 1095 nucleotides long. RefSeq lists it as uncharacterized. Lineage: Eukaryota; Viridiplantae; Streptophyta; Magnoliopsida; Zingiberales; Zingiberaceae. The transcript is spliced from 5 exons. The record is from RefSeq and is a predicted model, not a curated record.
CGUUGGAUGCGAUAAUACAAUCAAACAAUCCAUCCAUGGCGGACGGUUCGUUUUUGGAGGAGCUGCUCAAGAGGUUCUCUGAACUGGAGCUGCGCCAGGCGAGGCUGAGGGAUCAGCUGCAGCUCUACUUGGUUCGCGGCGCCGCAAGAGCGGCAGAAGCAGGGCAUGACGACCGCCACGGCUCCGGCAGUCCUGGGAGGAGCAGGAGUCGCCCUCUCCCAGAAGGCAGUGAGGCCGGCGGUAGCUACGGGCUCUUCCCCGGACGCUUCCACAAUGGCCCCUACUGCAGCGUGCUCCGCCACAUCGGUCACGCUCUUCACAUCUACCAUCCCCACUCCGGAGUGAUCAUCUUCUGGAAUCAAUCUGCAGAAAGCCUGUACGGAUGGGCGGACCAUGAGGCGCUCGGCCGGAACGUGGGGGAUCUACUGAUUCACGAAGACAAUGACAUCUCGCAUCUCAAAAGCGUCGUUGAAAUGUUAAACAAUGGCCAACCGUGGUCUGGCCAUCUCGCCUUCAAGAAGAGGUCAGGGGAAAUGGUUCCGGCCAUGGUGACCAAGACUCCACUCUACGAAGACGGCGUCUUCGUCGGCGUCAUUACGGUCUCUAGUGACGCCUCAUCGUUCCAUCAUGACAAGCACUCGGAGGAGUUGGACGAAAGUAGCUGCCAGAAGCUAAAGGCUCCCAAACUUUCAUCUCGUAGUCGCUCGUGUGGCGAGGUCAACGUUGAGAAUCAAACUUCUCGCGAUGGAAACAUGAAGACGGAUACAAAUGAAAUCAUGAAUCUGCCCUUGAUAGGAGAUGUGCCCCAACUCAAGACUAACUCAGGUGUUGGCCUAAGUGGAACACACAAGUAGUUCCUUCUCGGGCUCAACCAAGAGUUGUAUAGGUUCCAAUCGCGCUUGCACCACAUCCAAGGCUUCUUUGUCACCUUCAGUCAUGGAGAAUGAUUCUUCUUAAGAUGAUGAAGAUGGUGUAAGUCUCCUCUUUGUCUCUUGCUUUUGUGUCAUAAGUGCUAUAUUUGAGAGGUGUCCUAAGGCAAUCACCUUAUGAUUUGUACUAUUUAUUGGGUAAACAAAGAUUCACUAUUUGAGUGUA